GUACCUUGCAGUGCAGUUCACCCCCAGAUACGGGAAACUUAUUCACAAGGCUUAGAAAACCCUCCCUAAAUAACUUAUACUGCAACGUUGGUCCCUACAUCACAAGAUAAUGGUUAUUUUAGAUAAAUAAUUUUUAACUGCUGUUAAUUCUGUAUUCUAAACGUUUUCAAAUUGUCAGUUUUAUAUUAUAUAUCUUCAAAUAUGUUUUUCACCACCUCCGGGGUGAAUAAUCACGGCGGUCCUUAUAAAUUGUACUGUGCGGUUUAAGUAAUUUUAUUUGAAAUACAUAUUCUUAUUUCGGUGUGACAUUCUGUCGAACGAUUCAUGAUAGCAUUUAUACAGUCGAAUUCCAAAUAUAAUAACUGACGUUUCGAACACAAAACUAGGGUGUGGGCCAAAUGCCUCGAGGGCGUCAACAUUUAACCCACAGCACAGAAACGAAACAUAAUAUUUCGAUUUUUGCGAUCUACAAUACAUU
Molecule: non-coding RNA, 478 nt
Organism: Cinara cedri
Lineage: Eukaryota; Metazoa; Arthropoda; Insecta; Hemiptera; Aphididae
Source: the annotation of a GenBank genome assembly